AACCACUUCCCCCGUUACACAUUAUACCACUUUCCUAUCAGCCGCCCCCCCCCAUUCCGUUUUCCUUAGUCUAUACUCCCUUACCCCGGCCCUCAAACCCUUAGCCCUUAAGUUUCCCGUCCAAAUCGCGUGGGCUUGGAUUUUCUUGCCGUUUUCCUUUUUCCCCAAAGGAGUUUUAAACAAAAAAAAGGAGGUUGGAACCGGGGUUUAAACGGGCGUAACCCUCCCAUAGAACGGAAACUCCUUGAACCUGGUUAAAUCCCGUAACAAAUUGAACCGGAAGGUUUUGAUUGAACGGCUUUUGGGAUUCAGGAAGGAAGAACCCGUGGUCCUUAGGUAGUUGGCAAGUAACGCCUCACCAGGGCUCGAUGCAUAGGGGACUGGAGAGCUUAUCGCCACAUUGGGAAUGGAACAUGCUCCAAAUUCCUACGGGAGGCAGCAGUAGGAAUUUUGGGCAAUGGAAGAAAGUUUGACCGAGCAACGCCGGAUGAAGGAAGAAGGUUUUCGGAUCGUAAAAUUCUGUUGUUAGAGAAGAACAAGGAUGAGAGUAACUGUUCAUCCCUUGACGGUAUCUAACCAGAAAGCCAGGGUUAAUUACGUGCCAGCAGCCGCGGUAAUACGUAGGUGGCAAGCGUUGUCCGGAUUUAUUGGGCGUAAAGCGAGCGCAGGCGGUUUCUUAAGUCUGAUGUGAAAGCCCCCGGCUCAACCGGGGAGGGUCAUUGGAAACUGGGAGACUUGAGUGCAGAAGAGGAGAGUGGAAUUCCAUGUGUAGCGGUGAAAUGCGUAGAUAUAUGGAGGAACACCAGUGGCGAAGGCGGCUCUUUGGUCUGUAACUGACGCUGAGGCUCGAAAGCGUGGGGAGCAAACAGGAUUAGAUACCCUGGUAGUCCACGCCGUAAACGAUGAGUGCUAAGUGUUGGAGGGUUUCCGCCCUUCAGUGCUGCAGCUAACGCAUUAAGCACUCCGCCUGGGGAGUACGACCGCAAGGUUGAAACUCAAAGGAAUUGACGGGGGCCCGCACAAGCGGUGGAGCAUGUGGUUUAAUUCGAAGCAACGCGAAGAACCUUACCAGGUCUUGACAUCCUUUGACCACUCUAGAGAUAGAGCUUCCCCUUCGGGGGCAAAGUGACAGGUGGUGCAUGGUUGUCGUCAGCUCGUGUCGUGAGAUGUUGGGUUAAGUCCCGCAACGAGCGCAACCCUUAUUGUUAGUUGCCAUCAUUCAGUUGGGCACUCUAGCAAGACUGCCGGUGACAAACCGGAGGAAGGUGGGGAUGACGUCAAAUCAUCAUGCCCCUUAUGACCUGGGCUACACACGUGCUACAAUGGGAAGUACAACGAGUUGCGAAGUCGCGAGGCUAAGCUAAUCUCUUAAAGCUUCUCUCAGUUCGGAUUGCAGGCUGCAACUCGCCUGCAUGAAGCCGGAAUCGCUAGUAAUCGCGGAUCAGCACGCCGCGGUGAAUACGUUCCCGGGCCUUGUACACACCGCCCGUCACACCACGAGAGUUUGUAACACCCGAAGUCGGUGAGGUAACCUUUUUGGAGCCAGCCGCCUAAGGUGGGAUAGAUGAUUGGGGUGAAGUCGUAACAUGUGCAUA
Molecule: ribosomal RNA, 1595 nt
Filed under: Enterococcus sp.
Lineage: Bacteria; Bacillati; Bacillota; Bacilli; Lactobacillales; Enterococcaceae
Description: bacterial SSU rRNA
Rfam family: Bacterial small subunit ribosomal RNA
Source: RNAcentral